CUAGCCAGGCUCCACCCUUGGUCCCGCUUGAGCUCCUCACAUCAGAGGUCAGCAAAGUUCACGAUUUCUGCCCUUCUUAUCUGGGCUCACACAGCCCAGU
Molecule: long non-coding RNA, 100 nt
Organism: Pipistrellus kuhlii (Kuhl's pipistrelle)
Lineage: Eukaryota; Metazoa; Chordata; Mammalia; Chiroptera; Vespertilionidae
Exons: 3
Source: RefSeq, a predicted model, not a curated record